Molecule: long non-coding RNA, 3147 nt
Organism: Carassius auratus (goldfish)
Lineage: Eukaryota; Metazoa; Chordata; Actinopteri; Cypriniformes; Cyprinidae
Exons: 3
Source: RefSeq, a predicted model, not a curated record
UUUUUACCAAUUCUAAAAUUAAAACUCCUUUGAAAGAUGGAAGGAUGCUGGAAUUCAUUGGAUUUGUGCUGGCAGAGAAAUGCCACAUCUGUCCCGUGUAUUUAAACCAGAAUCAUCUUGCAUGAAUCAUGUUUCUUAUGCAGAGGUGCACCACGCUAACAUGGUUCUAUGACAGAAUUGCUUGACCUAACAUGCGUGUUGACAUGGCAGAGCUCCAGUUAAAAUGGCUCAGUGAUGCUUUUUAUUUUAUAACACGUGUUUUGUGUGUUGGCAUUGUAGGAUUACUGGUUAUCUCUGCUCUUUAAACGUCUGGUGGGCCCGAGGGUGCUUGCGGUGCACGUCGCAGGUCUCCAGAGGAAACCACGCCCUGGACGGGUGAUCCGGGACAAACUCCGCAUCUAUGCGCACUGCACCAGCUUUCACAAUCACGAUUAUGUCAGAGGGUCCAUAACCAUCUACAUCAUCAACCUGCAUCGGUCACGGAAAAAAAUCAAGCUGGCGGGGACAUUACGAAAUAAAACUGUUCACCAAUACCUGUUACAGCCCUUCGGCACAGAUGGACUUCACUCCAUGUCUGUGCAGCUGAACGGAGAGCCCUUGCAUAUGGUGGACAAUGAGACGUUCCCUGAGCUGAAGCCACGGACACUCAGGGCAGGAAGAACGAUAGCCAUGCCACCUGUAUCCAUCGGCUUCUACGUGAUCAAGAAUAUUAAUGCAUACGCCUGCCGCAGAUAACACACACUGACCGACCUCAGACCAUCCUCGUGGCCGUCUCCUCUUUUUAUAAGCCCACAGAGACGUGGAAGAGACUCCUUGGUUCAAGCAAGGGUUGCACUGAAUGCUUCCAACAACAUUUCUCCUCUUUUUUUAACCACAAGAAAAGCUUGACUUGUGGAAAGUGAAUGUAUUUUGGUUGCCCUUUUUUUGUCACUUUCGGUUGCAGGAGUGUAAUGCUUCAUGGAGAGCUUUGUAAUCCGAUGUUGAAGACCAGCGUAAGCUAUGAACCCAGUGCCAACGUGCGGUUCAGAUGCGGCACGACCAUUAUGAAGUAGAUCGAUCAGAAUCGGACCGUUUUCACAUUUUCUGCGGUCAUUUUGUGGGGAAAUCUGUGCAAUGGGUUUGAACAUGGUAAAAUGUGUUAAACAGAUAUGACAGCACUACAUUCUCAUUGGUAGCUAGGAACAUUAUCAGAUCAGCCAAAAUAUUCGAAUGAUGAAAAUGCACAGGACGCAAGCGACAGCCGUUUCAAUUCUCCGGAGUUCUGUGGGUGCGGAUUCUGUGUGGGCCUGUCUGUCAGCUUAAUGUGAUUUAGCCGAGUAGGACGUGUUCCUGGAUCAACAUCCUUGUUGGUUCUUAAACAACAUUCCAGCUUGACAGCCAAUCCGAUUUUAGGGUUAGAUUUGGGGGGCUUGAAUAUUGUUCUUUCAACCAAUCAUUUUGAAGGUAGGUCAUGCUUAGGGUUGCAAGUCUUAGAACUAUGCUUGCUGUGUCAGGACAGAGAAAAGAGGUUUAUCCUGCUAAAUCACAUCGUGCAAAUAACAGUUUGAUCUGAAUUACAUCUCUUUUGUGUGCUUUUUUAGAUUCUGGGGUCUAAAGCCACGUAAAAGGCACACGGCCAAAUCUUGAUCCGUAAUCUUUCUUUUUCAUCGAAGGACAGAAAAUAUAACCUCCUUUUAAAGCCAACUUUAUAACUUUUAACACUGACCCAUGGCCUAAAAAACAGCUUGCAGUCUUGGGUUCUCUGUCCCAUUUUUAUUUUUUUGUUUUUUUUUAGUUGCUGCUUUAUCAUUUCAAACUGUACAACGAUGAAGGUACUACAGAAAGAUAUAUAGAUAUUUACUAAAACAUCCUUAUAUUUUAUUGCUAAAUUAGAAAGGAUUAACAUAACACACAAUCUUUAUGCAAUCUUCAUCGAUUCUCUGAGAAAUACUGCCUUAUAUUUAUGAUGUUUACAUGUUUGAUUUCCCAUUGCUCAGACUCCUUUGAAGCUGUAAGGAAAGAGUAGGGAGUUUUUGAAGGCAUCGUUUUGCUUUAUGAAGAACUGUGUAUCAUAAAGUUGUUGCAGAGCUCAGGAAAUUAGCUUGUCCGUUAGCAUCAUGUUCAAAGCUAUUUUUUUUUUUUUUUUUUGCUAUAACAUUGUGAACCUGAGCUUAGUUUUCCAGAUUUCUUCUGCUAUAUUAUUAAUACUGGGGCCCUGGAAGGUGUUAGACAAUUAAGUCACACUUAAAAUUGUAUUACUUUUACACAUUAUAUCAGUUCAAGUGGUAGUUAUUUUUCAAGCAAUGCAUUUCACAAAAUUAAAUUUGUCAGGUGAUUUAAAAAUGGCAAAGACAAGUAUCAUACAUUCUGAAAAAUUCCCAUUUGGCUUGAUAUUUUGUCUUUUUUUAAUAUUUGUUUUUGAAAACAUUUUAAGUGUCACCAAAUUGUGCAUAUACUUUCAGGGCCACUAUAAAUCCCAUGUACAGCGAUUCAUUUUUGCUGCUAGCUGCCUUAAUUAAAAUUAAGCAUAUGUUUUUGUACAGGUACAAACUUUUUAUAUUAAUAAAUGUACAUACAAUUGGUUUUCGAUUUAAACUGUGUGCUUCCUUGCUCUAUAAAUAUUAUUUAUAUAAAUGUAUAUGUGUGGUUAUGAGUGUGUUUGUGUGUAUAUAUAUAAACAGUUGACUUUCGUCCACAUUGGCAGAUAAUUAUAUUGUACUUUUUGUAAAACAUACAGCAGAGACUGAUUUAAAUGUUUAGCAAUGAAACUGCCCUUUGAAUUUCAAAUGUAUUUCAUUGCUCACAGUAUGCACAUUUGUGUAUCACAAUGUUUUACAUUGUAUAUUCUUUGGUCACUCAGUCACAAUGCAAAAAAAUAAAAAAUAAAAAAAUAGAUAUAUUUAUAUAGUGAUUCAGCUUUCAAACGGAUUUUGUGAAUUCUAUAAAAAGUCUUUUUUUUUUCCCCUCCUCGGGCUUGGUUAUGACAGCGGUUUGAUUUUCCAGGGUCAAUAAUUCUGUCAGCAUCAUAGUAUUUCCUUAGAUUUGGAAGACUCUGUUGUGAUUUUAGAGAUUUAUACGGUCUUUGAUUUGUAUAAUGACACUUUCACAAGCUAUUUUCCUCCUUGAAUGUGUUUAUUGCAGAUUUAGAGUUGUUAAUAUUUUUUGCAG